Molecule: small nuclear RNA, 165 nt
Filed under: Sorex araneus (European shrew)
Lineage: Eukaryota; Metazoa; Chordata; Mammalia; Eulipotyphla; Soricidae
Description: U1 spliceosomal RNA (ENSSARG00000016801.1)
Rfam family: U1 spliceosomal RNA
About the family: U1 is a small nuclear RNA (snRNA) component of the spliceosome (involved in pre-mRNA splicing).
Source: RNAcentral
GUACUUACCUGGCAGGGGAGAUACCAUAAUCACAAAUAUGGUUUUCCCACAGCGAAGCUUAUCCAUUGCACUCCAGAUGUGCUGACCCCUGUUAUUUCUCCAAACAUAAGAAACUUGGCAGCAGAAUUAAUGGUAGUGGGGGGUCUGCAUUCACUCUCUCCCCUG